This 301-nucleotide ribosomal RNA is filed under the name uncultured bacterium. Its description in RNAcentral is "partial 16S ribosomal RNA". It matches the Rfam family "Bacterial small subunit ribosomal RNA", at positions 509 to 807 of the family's 1533-position model. The record is from RNAcentral.
CAGUAGCCGCGGUAAUACGAAGGGUGCAAGCGUUACUCGGAAUUACUGGGCGUAAAGCGUGCGUAGGUGGUGGUUUAAGUCCGUUGUGAAAGCCCUGGGCUCAACCUGGGAAUUGCAGUGGAUACUGGGUCACUAGAGUGUGGUAGAGGAUAGUGGAAUUUCCGGUGUAGCAGUGAAAUGCGUAGGGAUCGGAAGGAACAUCUGUGGCGAAGGCGACUAUCUGGGCCAACACUGACACUGAGGCACGAAAGCGUGGGGAGCAAACAGGAUUAGAUACCCCGGUAGUCCCUGUCUCUUAUAC